RNAcentral lists this ribosomal RNA (439 nucleotides) under uncultured bacterium. Its description in RNAcentral is "partial 16S ribosomal RNA". It matches the Rfam family "Bacterial small subunit ribosomal RNA", at positions 339 to 795 of the family's 1533-position model. The record is from RNAcentral.
CUACGGGGCGCAGCAGUGAGGAAUAUUGCACAAUGGGGGGAACCCUGAUGCAGCAACGCCGCGUGGAGGGUGACACUUUUCGGAGCGUAAACUCCUUUUAUAUAGGAAGAAGAUGACGGUACUAUAUGAAUAAGCGCCGGCUAACUCCGUGCCAGCAGCCGCGGUAAUACGGAGGGCGCAAGCGUUACUCGGAAUCACUGGGCGUAAAGAGCGUGUAGGCGGAUUAAAAAGUCAGAAGUGAAAUCCUAUAGCUUAACUAUAGAACUGCUUCUGAAACUCUUAAUCUAGAAUAUGGGAGAGGUAGAUGGAAUUUCUGGUGUAGGGGUAAAAUCCGUAGAGAUCAGAAGGAAUACCGAUUGCGAAGGCGAUCUACUAGAACAUUAUUGACGCUGAGACGCGAAAGCGUGGGGAGCAAACAGGAUUAGAUACCCCUGUAGUC